This 300-nucleotide ribosomal RNA is filed under the name uncultured Desulfurococcus sp. RNAcentral's name for it is "bacterial SSU rRNA". The stretch from base 53 to 300 matches the Rfam family "Bacterial small subunit ribosomal RNA", at positions 547 to 795 of the family's 1533-position model. The record is from RNAcentral. Lineage: Archaea; Thermoproteati; Thermoproteota; Thermoprotei; Desulfurococcales; Desulfurococcaceae.
UGUGAACUUGGGGCCUGGUGCGGGGGAAAUACGGCGGGGUGAAGCGUGUGGCGGAAUUAUGUGGCGUAAGGGGCACGGAGGAGGCUUAGCAAGUCCCAUGUGAAAUCCCAAGGCUUAAACGGGGAAGUGCAUGGGAAACUGCUGAGCUUGAGGACUUAAGAGGAUCGCGGAAUUCCCGGUGUAGAGGUGAAAUUCGUAGAUAUCGGGAGGAACACCAGUGGCGAAGGCGGCGAUCUGGGAAGAUACUGACGCUGAGGUGCGAAAGCGUGGGGAGCAAACAGGAUUAGAUACCCUGUAGUC